RNAcentral lists this transfer RNA (90 nucleotides) under Streptomyces griseoflavus. Its description in RNAcentral is "tRNA-Thr". Lineage: Bacteria; Bacillati; Actinomycetota; Actinomycetes; Kitasatosporales; Streptomycetaceae. The record is from RNAcentral.
CCCGGACGGGGUGGCGGGGACCAACUUCGCGCUGUGGGCGGGCGGCGCGGAGGGGGUCGAGCUGUGCCUGUUCGACGAGGGCGGCCGGGA